UCAAUUGAAGGCUCUAAUCUGGUCCAAAUCGAAAUCCGAGCACGUAUUAGUGAUCCCCACUGAAAAAGGAGUCACAAGUUUGACUCUAAACAAGCUAGGUGGGAGCUUGGAAAGGAACGGGUCAAACGAAUGAUGGAUGCGAAGGAUGUUUGCGCGAGCGCGAGAUUAUAGACACGACCAAGGUUAUAUCCGAAAUAUGGGUUCCGACACGAAAUGA
RNAcentral lists this long non-coding RNA (217 nucleotides) under Helianthus annuus (common sunflower). RNAcentral's name for it is "sRNA HanXRQr2_Chr01g0000051". Lineage: Eukaryota; Viridiplantae; Streptophyta; Magnoliopsida; Asterales; Asteraceae. The record is from RNAcentral.